CCUCAAGCUACUAAGAGCACAUGGUGGAUGCCUUGGCAGUUGAAGGCGAUGAAGGGCGUGGUAAGCUGCGAUAAGCGCCGGUGAGCUGCACACAAGCUUUGACCCGGCGAUUCCCGAAUGGGGAAACCCGUACGGAGUAAUAUCCGUACAUCCCGGAAUGAAUCCAUAGUUCCGGGAGGCAAACCCGGGGAAGUGAAACAUCUCAGUACCCGGAGGAAAAGAAAGCAACCGCGAUUCCCUGAGUAGUGGCGAGCGAAAGGGGAACAGCCUAAACCGAUUCCGGUGUUAAAGCCAGCGGGCGUUGCCGGAACGGGGUAGUGGGACCAGGCUUCGCCAACCGCUGUGAGGCGAGGGAGUUACCAUAACCAACCGUUAGCCGAAGUCUUCUGGAAAGAAGCACCAUAGAGGGUGAAGGUCCCGUAGGCAAAAAUGGUUGGUUCUCCCGCGGCUUGGUUCCCAAGUACCACGGGGCACGAGAAACCCUGUGGGAAUCCAGGAGGACCACCUUCUAAGGCUAAAUACUCUCAACUGACCGAUAGUGCACCAGUACCGUGAGGGAAAGGUGAAAAGAACCCCUGGCGGGGAGUGAAAUAGAACCUGAAACCAUGUGCUUACAAUCAGUGGGAGCAGCUUACCACCUUUCCGCAAGGUUUGGUGGUGGCUGUGACCGCGUGCCUUUUGCAUAAUGACCCGGCGAGUGAAUGUGCGUGGCGAGGUUAAGCCUCUCUGAGGCGAAGCCGGAGCGAAAGCGAGUCCUAAUUGGGCGUUAAGUCGCGCGCAUUCGACCCGAAACCCGUGUGAUCUACCCAUGGCCAGGUUGAACUUGGGGUAACACCCAAGGGAGGACCGAACCGGUGGCCCUUGCAAUAGCCUCGGAUGAGCUGUGGGUAGGAGUGAAAGGCUAAUCAAACCGGGUGAUAGCUGGUUCUCCCCGAAAUGCCUUUAGGGGCAGUCUCGCAAGUUCAGUUGCGGAGGUAGAGCACUGGACGGGCGCUCCCCCACAAUGUGGGGGAAAACCCGACCAAACUCCGAAUUCCGCAACUUUAGAUUGCGGGAAAGAGGCUGUGAGCUCUAAGGUCCAUAGCCGAGAGGGGAAUAACCCAGACCACCAGCUAAGGCCCCUAAGUGUAUGCUAAGUGUGAAAAGAGGUGAGGUUGCUCAGACAGCUGGGAUGUUGGCUUAGAAGCAGCAAUCAUUUAAAGAGUGCGUAACAGCUCACCAGUCGAGUGACCUUGCACUGAAAAUUCACCGGGGCUCAAGCAUACCGCCGAAGCUGUGGACUUCUGUUAGGUUCGCCUGACAGGAGUGGUAGGGGAGCGUUCUGUUGUAGGCUGAAGCCCGACCGCGAGGCCGGGUGGACGAACCAGAAGUGAUUAUGCCGGGACGAGUAGCGUUAAAACAGGUGAAAAACCUGUUCGCCGAAAACCCAAGGUUUCCUGGGGAAGGUUAAUCCGCCCAGGGUUAGUCGGUGCCUAAGCUGAGGCCGAAAGGCGUAGGUGAUGGGAAUCCGGUCAAUAUUCCGGAACCACCUUGGCAUCGUUAUGAGCUAUGGGGGGACGCAGGCGGAAUGGUUUAGCCCCGUGCUGGAUCGGGGUCUAAGCCAGGGCGAUGGUGCGUAGGAAAAUCCGCGCACAUAAUUCGCUCUGGUGAUGGGGACCCUGCCGUAAGGCAGGGGAACUGAACCGGACCGACUGCCGAGAAAAGCCUCUAUGCCAGAUGUCAGGGUGACCGUACCGUAAACCGACACUGGUGGGUGAGGAGAGUAUCCAAAGGCGCUCGGGUGAGCUCUCGUUAAGGAACUCGGCAAUCUAACCCCGUAACUUCGGGAGAAGGGGUGCCACCGCAAGGUGGCCGCAGUGAAAUGGCUCUACCGACUGUUUAACAAAAACACAUGUCUCUGCUAAGCCGUAAGGCGAAGUAUAGGGACUGACACCUGCCCGGUGCCGGAAGGUUAAGGAAGGGGGUUAGCCGCAAGGCGAAGCUCCCGACCGAAGCCCCGGUAAACGGCGGCCGUAACUCUAACGGUCCUAAGGUAGCGAAAUUCCUUGUCGGGUAAGUUCCGACCUGCACGAA
RNAcentral lists this ribosomal RNA (2073 nucleotides) under bacterium. Its description in RNAcentral is "partial 23S ribosomal RNA". It matches the Rfam family "Bacterial large subunit ribosomal RNA", at positions 1 to 1996 of the family's 2925-position model. The record is from RNAcentral.